RNAcentral lists this long non-coding RNA (384 nucleotides) under Carica papaya (papaya). Its description in RNAcentral is "long non-coding RNA (CPAP_LNC010320)". Lineage: Eukaryota; Viridiplantae; Streptophyta; Magnoliopsida; Brassicales; Caricaceae. The record is from RNAcentral.
UCUCUUCAUUUUUUCUUUAAUAACAUGAUUUGCAUUUAUACAAAUAAAAAUAUUCAUAUUAGAUGAUGUAACUGUGCGCAUAAAUAAAAUAGUUAGGAUUAAAUAUAAAAGAAGGGUCGUAAGCUUUGAAAAAUAAAAAAUAAGUAAAAAAUAGAUAAAAUCGAACUAAAAGAAUAAAGAGAAGUAUAACCAUUAAUUCUGGUCAUUCGAUUUUAUUUUUCAAUCAUCAAGGUUUGUAUUGAAAUUAAAAUCUCCUCAUUAUUAGGGUUUUUGAGAGAAUAAAAAAGAUAAUAAAUGAAAUAGAAUGGAAAACGAAGGCAAUAAAUGUGUUCAAAAUAAAUUAGUCAUUUAAAAAAUAAAAAAAUUAAGUUAAAAAAUUCAGAA